AGCGCGGGGGACGGAGCGGGAGACGCGGUCGCGCCGGUUGCAGCUCCCUCGGCGGCUCCGGGAUCGGCGCCGCUCGGGUCCCGCCAACCCGGAGCCCCUCGGGAAAGGUUUUGCUGUGGGAUAUUUUGUCAUUAUGAGAUGUCGUCUACCAGUGCUUCAUUUGUGCAAAUUAAAUUUGAUGACUUGCAGUUUUUUGAGAACUGCGGUGGAGGGAGUUUCGGGAGUGUCUACCGAGCCCGAUGGAUUUCUCAGGACAAGGAGGUGGCAGUAAAGAAGCUGCUCAAAAUAGAAAAAGAGGCAGAAAUACUCAGUGUGCUCAGUCACAAAAACAUCAUUCAGUUCUACGGAGCUGUCAUUGAACCUCCAAAUUAUGGCAUAGUUACAGAGUAUGCUUCUGCUGGCUCACUGUUUGAUUACAUUAAUAGUAACAAAAGUGAAGAGAUGGAUAUGGAUCAUAUCAUGACCUGGGCAACUGACAUAGCUAAAGGAAUGCACUAUUUACACAUGGAAGCUCCAGUGAAAGUUAUCCACAGGGACCUGAAGUCCAGGAAUGUUGUUAUAGCUGCUGAUGGUGUGUUAAAGAUCUGUGAUUUUGGUGCUUCAAGGUUCCACUCCCAUACGACACACAUGUCAUUAGUGGGCACUUUUCCAUGGAUGGCCCCAGAAGUUAUUCAAAGUCUUCCAGUGUCUGAAACAUGUGACACAUACUCGUACGGAGUGGUUCUCUGGGAGAUGCUAACAAGGGAGGUCCCCUUUAAAGGCUUGGAAGGAUUACAAGUAGCUUGGCUUGUAGUGGAAAAAAACGAGAGAUUAACCAUUCCAAGCAGUUGUCCCAGAAGUUUUGCAGAACUGAUGCAGCAAUGUUGGGAUGCUGAUUCAAAGAAAAGGCCAUCUUUCAAGCAGAUCAUUUCAAUCCUGGAAUCUAUGUCAAAUGACAGCAACCUUCCAGACCAGUGUAACUCAUUCCUGCAUAACAAGGCGGAGUGGAGAUGUGAAAUUGAGGCAACCUUAGAGAGACUAAAGAAACUGGAGCGUGAUCUGAGCUUUAAAGAGCAGGAACUAAAGGAACGGGAGCGACGUUUGAAGAUGUGGGAGCAGAAGUUAACUGAACAAUCAAAUACUCCUUUGCUGCCCUCCUUUGAUAUUUGUGCAUGGACUGAAGAUGAUGUGUUUUUCUGGAUGCAACAACUUACUAGAAAAGGCGAUGCUUCUGGUGAAAUGAGUGUCUAUGCUAGCUUGUUUAAGGAACAUCAUAUCACUGGGAAACAAUUGCUUCUUCUAGAAGAAGAGGAUUUAAAGGACAUGGGAAUUGUUUCCAGAGGACACAUCAUCCAUUUAAAGACUGCUAUUGAGAAGUUAACCCAUGACUACCUGAAUCUGUUUCAUUUUCCACCGUUAAUUAAGGAUUCUGCAGGUGGAGCUGAAGAAAACAUAGAGAAAGUAGUGAAUCUUGAACUUGUGUUUGGUUAUCACUUGAAGCCAGGAAAUGGUCCAAAGGAUUGUAAAUGGAAAAUGUACAUGGAGAUGGACGGGGAUGAAAUUGCAAUAACCUACAUAAAAGAUGUGACAUUCAACACUAACCUACCUGAUGUAGAGAUUUUAAAGAUGACAAAGCCACCGUUUGUAAUGGAGAAAUGGAUUGUGGGGAUAGAAGAACACCAGUCUGUAGAAUGUGUUGUUACAUAUGAGAGUGAUGUUAGAGCUCCCAAAAGCACCAGGCACAUCCAAGCUAUCUGCUGGAGCAAGGUGAAAGCACAGGACGAGGUUGAGACAGUACAGCUCAUGAUACAGACCUCGGUCCCCAACUCAGAGGGGAAUUCGCGGAGCAGAUCUGACUCAGGCAUUGACAGUCAGUGGAUGCAGACACUGCGUAUGCUUCAGAUAGCAAAAGCCGUUUCUCACCAGCACAGCCACCCCCACAGCCCGACCACAGUCACCCACUACCUGCCCUACCUUCACAGCCAAGACUCCUACGCUGCAGCCGUCAGGAGGACACCCGCUCCUGUCAGUCACCAGUUCACCUCCAUCAGCCACUCCAGGAACUCUUCUCCUAUCUCACAUAGUUUGAUGAGAAACCUCUCGAAUCUGCAUCUGAACUCAAAAGGCAGCAGUGCCUCCAGCACAGCCUCAGACACUGCUUCAGAGAGGGACAGGUCUGCUGGCAAAGGCAGAAACACCCCACACAGCGGUAACUCCCGCAGCUCCUCGGGCGGGCGGCACAGUGGGACCAGCUCCCCAGUGCCCCCCCGACACUUGGGAAGACCCAGCAGGACUUCUUUGCCAGUGGCCCCUCCGGCCUCCCAGCACCGCAGGUACCUACAUUUUCCUUUUCCAGGGUUUAAAAGGUUCUGAAUUAUAAGAAGCCAGCUCUGAGAUGGCUGCUGGAAUGGAUGAUGAAAAACAGCAGAGAGCUCAUGAAGGCAAAUUCAGAACUGGACAUCCAAAGUGAGUCAGCAAUCAUUCUUUAGCUCAGAGCUGGGUCUGAUCCUGGUGGAUGUUGUCUUCCUAAGUACACAAGUUUCCUCAGCAGCACUGGUGUACCUGCCACUACCAUCAGAAGAACUGGCUGUAAGAGGUCAGAGACAUGGGCUGUGAACCAGCUGCCAAUUCAAGUGCCUGUGGAACCCUGCUCCUGAGCGUAGUGGGCAGCACGUGAAUGUGAGACUCCUUGGAGCAAAAACAUUGCCCAGCCCUGCAAACACAGGCUGCUUUUGUUCCCAUACAGCCAGGGCACGAGGGGCUGCCCAUAUGCAGCAUGCUCAAGAGCCAAAGGUCUUUCUGAAAGGGGGAGAGCUGCUCAGAGGGCUUUUGUAGCAGGUCAUCUGCCUGAGUUGGAAGAGCAAAUUCACAGAAGGAUGAUUGUCACAGAGGUGACAGCCCACUGAACUGUCGAGGGGGGCCCAAAAUCAUAAACAACUCCAGGCUGUUCCUCACCCUAACCCCUUGUGACAUGAGCAGACUGUCAAUCCAUCUCAGGGCAGUGGAGCUGCAGAGGUUGCUUUUUAUGGCCUGGGCAGGAAUUUCCCCCAGCUCAGUGUUUGAUUUGGGCAGCACUGUAAUCUCUUUCUCUUCCAACAUUUCUAGUUCUUACUUUGGCCUCAUAUUGAUUUCGACAGACAUACCAAAAUGUAAUGCCUGCACUGUGCUUGUCAGGAAGAUAAACAGAAGUAAUGAUCAGAGAGGGGAGAUGAGGUGGCCAUCUGACCCCUUUUCACUGGGGAAUGCAGCUGCCAGGAUUUCAGCCUGUCCAACUGCUGCCAUGGCUCCCUGUACCUCUGUGCUGGGGGAAAUCUGGUCAUACUGCCUGGGUGGGAUGGGAUGACUGUGGGACCUGCUCAUCCUCCGCUGAUGUUGCUGAGACCUGCCUUCAGCAGGGGGAAUGCCAGCAGCCCCUCUGUCUCCCCAUCUACACCUAGAUCUCAGUGAUGCUGUGCCAGUGGACAAAACACUGCCAUGCUCCCAGGAAUGGUGGGUCUCAGGACUAGGUUUCACAGGUGGUGUUGCUGCUGGUUGGUUUAUUUCCAUGAAAUGCUAGAGAAAGUAAAUCCAGUUCCCGUUCAGCUGGGAGGGGAGAGUGCCCCUUUGUGCCUCCCCCCACUGCUGCCAUGGCUGAGCUAAUUCUCCAUGAGAACCUGCUUUCUAGCUGGCAUCGGUGUGAAACGUGGAUGGGUGUUUUUGGACAUUGUUUACUUUUUAAAGAAAGUAUUUGCUAUUGUGCAGUUUUGCUCUAUCUUACCUGCUCCCGCUGAUUAUUUUCUAGCAGUUGGCCUUGUCUGACAGCAUGCUGACCACAAUCUGUCAACUUGCUGAGCUGAUUUAAGGAGCAGAGGUUGCUUAAACCCUCUGUCCUUCCUCACUCAGAGCAAGAGCCCCCAGGCAGGGCACCUCUCACCUCUGUCCUCCUCUCUAGCUCAGCCCAUGCUGCUGAGGAUCAAACUCCAUGUAUUUCAAGACUUCCUAUAACUUGCAAGCUUGCUGCCAAGAACACUGGACUGUGCAUCAACUAUAUGCAAUUGAUUUUUUUGAUUGUGCUAUAGAAUGCACUUUGACAUAACAAUAAUAAUAAUAAUUAUUAUUUUAGGCUGGGAAAGACGGGCAGUGGCUUAUGUAACUGUGGAAAAACCCCAAACUAAGAGACCCCCUAACAUCUAAUGUCACUAAAAUGGAACCAAAUAGCUGUGCUACCUCUGAAAAUUACAUCUGACAGAAGUAUUUCCUGUAUGUGUCCACCAUAGAAGGGUUUUUACAUAAUAUGCUUAUCUAAUGAAUUGCCAAAGCAUAGCAGUUCGAGCUAGUUUGUUGCAAGAAGUUAGAGGUUAGAGAGGAGAAGUCUAUUACAGCAAUAACACUAAUAAGGGUCUGCCAAGAUCACACUUGAGUACAUGUAAAUACAGGGCAUUUGAGAUUAACAUCUCAGAGGACAGAGGAAUGGUGCUGAGAGGCAGUGACCGCUUGGGAAAAACGAGAGCUGAGGCUAGAGGGUGCAGCCUUUCCCUGCAGCUCCCACUCCAGCACCACUACGCUCCCCUCAGCCCACAGCAGCCGCAGCCCACUGCUCCCGCCUCUGCCACCCCCUGCCCGAGGGUCGGAGCCUCUUCCAAGAAAUUUCUUGAGGCGGUUUGGCAGGUUCUGACGGGCGGCAGGCGUGAACCCUGUGCUAUGUGGAAUGAAGUGACUUAAUAUAGCUGGGGCUCAACAUAUACAUUUGGCAAGCAAGGUGAGGGCUUCCUGCAGCAGAGAGGGCAUUUCCCUCAUGCUGUGAAAAAAUCCAAGGGCCUGAAAACUUGAGAUGUGCCCUGGGGACUCCGUAGCAAGCCCUGAGGGAGGCUUUUUACCUGCCCCUCCCACUUCGUUCCUUCUGAGAGAGCUGCCAGGAGAGAUCCCUGGGGAGAAGGUCGUGCCACCGCUUGUCCCCCCACUCCCACCCUCUCCCAGCAACCACAUUUUGUUGAGGGCUGGUGGAGGUGAUGCAAAUCAACAUUUCCAAAGCGGCAGUGGCAAAGCUUGUAUAACAGGGAAAAAACCUAGACUACAAUAAGUAUUUUUGAUUAUUUUCUGAUAGCCUCCUGUUUCCCGCAGCUAUACAUUUGCAGAAUAUGUUGUAAGCGAUUUCUUUAUGAUGUUACUAAAUGUAAUUUGUGUUUUCAAAGGGAAUUAUAAAUCAAAAACAAUGAAAGGGCUGGAAUCCUGAGCUUUUAAAAGUGGCUACUGCAUAUCAACAACAGCUACUUUUGGUCAACAUUUUUUGCUAUGCGUUUUGUGGAAUGGCUACAGGAUACUCAAAUGAGCAUUGUAAUUAAACUCCCAUCAUGUGCAUCAUAAUUCUCUGGGCUCCCAAUGAUCUGCUAUGACUUAUACUUGGAAUAAUCAUUAAGGUUUCUAUUGAAACUGGCCACAUUUCAUCCAUUCUCUUAGUGCACUGAGGAAUAUAGUAUCAAUCACACUUUUUCUCUCACUGAAUUGUAUUAUUCCUCUAGUUUUCCUUCUCUUACUUUUUUCAUUUUUAUGGUCUUGCCAGUGUCAAAGAAACACAGUAUCGAAUAGUAUCAGACAUGACCACCUUCAAUUCAACAUGCAGGAUGCAUUUGCACUCAGCCUUUACUAAUAAGGAAGUUACAGCAAAGCACAAGGAGAUAAAAAUCUGACAAAUUAAAAGAAGAAAAUCUAUUUCUCCUUGGAGAGACAAAAAAAGGAAAAAUACACUAAUUGCAUUGGGGAGGUAUUUUGUGGAGCUGGUACAGUUGGUCUUACUAUAAACUGAUUUGUUUACUAUAUAAACUGAUUGUACACUAUAAACAUUUGAAUUUAUAUUUAUUUUACAAAAUCUGAUUCUACCUAUCAGAGCACAGUGUCAAAGUAUUUACAUUAAGAAGGUACUCCAUAAAAAUUCACGUCCAGCAAACAUGUAGACAUCUAACUAUAAUUAAAUCUUCAAAAGUGGCCAUCCUCCCGCUUCUGUAUAAGAACAAGUGUGUCCUUUCUGGGUUGCAAUCAAUAGCAGGUUACCUGAUUAUACACCUUAUUAUGUCUUGUAUAGUAGUGUGAGCCGCUGGAGGGUGACAUGUGAACAAAUAGAUAUGCUUGAUCAGAUCUUUUCAAGAAACACACCUUACAGGAGAGAGAAAAACAAUUAGUGUGUGUUAUAGGUUACCGAUUUACAAUUUACAUCAUAAAUCAAUGUCUGAUUAUUUUAAUGCAAAAUGUUUUUAGCUUCAUUUUAUUGCACUAAUGGUUUCAAUAACACACUAUAAUUUGCUCAGAUAGAGCAAUUGAAGAGGUGAUUGGACAGCUCUUACAGAAAUUUUUAAUUACUGUCAUUAGUGGCUGCAAUCUUAUUCUUUUCUAUGGAGCUAAGAUACAGGUUAUUGCAUUGUGCCACAAGUGCUCUGUGGCCAUGAGAAUCCAAACUCUCUCUUUCCUCUGAAAUGCUUGCUUCUAUAAAUAUGUGUCUGUGCAAGUCUCAUCACAAUAAUUACUAGCAUCACACAAACAUUAACUAAUGUACCCAGAUACUCUUUUAGGCAGGUGUGGUGGUACAUCCCCACCCUUGGGCCGUGCUAUGAUCUCUGAAAUACUCAUUAGGCCUCAGCCUUGACAAACAGCACCUGGGCUUAGCUUCUGUUGAGCUUGUCAGAAACAGUGUCUGCUCCCAGGAGCUUAUGCUAUCUAGUGAGCUUCUAGUUUUUAAAGAACAGACUUGAAAAGUGACUUUUCUUGCCUGAAUAACAACCCAGCUGAAAUAAUAUUUUUGUUAUCAGACUUUCAAAGAAAAGUACUGACCCAAAUUGAGGCCAAGAUGAAAAAUUAUUAUGAUUAAAGCCAACUGUCUUGCAAUCCUAUAAACAGCAGUCCUAAGUGAGACUCUUUGAGCCCUCUUGGACCACAGUGGACUGCGACCAGCAUGUCCCUCUGAGUGAGAUGCCUCUCAGAGCCAGAGAACUCUCAAGUUUGCUGUACUUGGAGGACCACCACCGAACACCAACGAUGGAGCCUGUGCUGAUACCCCCACUCCUCAAAGCUCAACCUAUUGAGAAGAUGCACAGGCAUCUGACAUGAGCACUUCACUAAAUUCGAGGGGAAUUUUUCAAGUGUAUGUACAAACCUUCUACAUACAUUUAGGUCUGUGUGUGUGUGAGUGUGAAUAUGCUAUAGCAAAUGUAGUACGAAUGUUGCUCUCUUAGUUUCUUAAGUAUUUUAGAUUCAUAAGGAAUUUAGGCCUAUAAUUGAGUUGCUGUUGUGCUAUAGAAAAUUCUAUAAGAAUCUUUUGUCAAAUUGUGUACAUUAAGCUAUCAAUUAAGUGCUGUUAAGUUUAAGUGCUUUUAAAAACUUUUAAGCCUCAACCAGUGUUCAAGUCUGGGGCUAAGUUUGUCAAGGAGGUCAAACUACUCUGAACUUUGUGACUCAACAGGAACGUCUCCCUUAUUCCUUUCUAUCCUUAGCCUUUCUCAUACUUACCCUUUUUCCAUGUAGAUAAUUUUUGGUUGAUUUUAGUUUUAGAUUCAUUGAUUUUAGAUUUCAGUACAAUUUUUCUCUGUGUGCUUUAACCAUCUAGUAAGUAGAAGAGUAAACAUUGCCAACGAACUUUGUUAUGCUUUCACUUUUGUAUUAAACCUGCU
RNA transcript from Corapipo altera (White-ruffed manakin), 7616 nucleotides. It is a transcript of the gene named mitogen-activated protein kinase kinase kinase 20, with no coding region annotated. NCBI's taxonomy places the organism in Eukaryota, Metazoa, Chordata, Aves, Passeriformes, Pipridae. The record is from RefSeq and is a predicted model, not a curated record. The transcript has 23 exons.